Sarcophilus harrisii (Tasmanian devil) is the source of this 969-nucleotide long non-coding RNA. RefSeq lists it as uncharacterized. The transcript is spliced from 3 exons. The record is from RefSeq and is a predicted model, not a curated record. Lineage: Eukaryota; Metazoa; Chordata; Mammalia; Dasyuromorphia; Dasyuridae.
GGGAGGCCUCAGGAUUGUGGGUUUAAAGCCAGAAAGGGACAUUCUGUGGUGCCCGAACUCCGCCACCGUGCCCGGCCAGGACCCGGAAGCCCAGAGACAUUUAGAUUUUCUCCUCAGCCACACAGCUGGCAAGGUAGCACCAAGGACAGCGGGCUUCAUGAUGACAUAUCCCAGAGUGCACGUGGUGAUCCAGACGGACAAAUCUGAUGGCCAUCAGUAAAGAAAAGGCUAAUGUUAUGGUUCACGAUCGCAAUGGAAUAGGAUUGUUGUGCUGUAGAGACUGAGGGAUGUGAUGAACAUAGAAGUCUGGGAAGACUUACCUGAACGGAUGCAGGGUGAUGUCAGUAAAGCCAGAGAAACACCAGAUACGAGCACCACAACCAUUCGGCUAGAAUAACUACAAAUCAGUUGAAAGUGAAUGCUGGGAAAUAGGGAUGAACAAAUCUGACUUCAAAGAGUAGAGAUUCAGAGUCCAGGUCUAUGAGUGUGGAACCCUGAUUAGAACGUUAGAUUAUUUUUUUCUGACUCUAAAGAAUACAGAUGAAAAAAUCCCCCUGCUCCUUUGCAGAGUCCAGAUCUACGAGUGUGGAACCCUGAUUAGAACGUUAGAUUAUUAUUUUUUCUGACUCCAAAGGAUAGAGAUGAAAAGAUCUCCCUGCUCCUUUGCAGAGUCCAGGUCUAUGAGUGUGGAGCCCUGAUUAGAACGUUAGAUUAUUUUUUUAUGUGUUGAUCAUUUUUCUGACUUUUUUCCCUCCUACUUUUUUCUUUAAAAAAAAAAAAAAUUUCUUUGUUACAAGCGAUUGCUCUCCAGGAGGGAUGAGGCAAGAAUAGGUGGGAAAUCUAAGCAAUGCAAAAGAAAAUAUAUGGAUAACAAUUGAUUUCAUAAAACUCCAGACCUAAACGGGGCAAUUUUGUUUCUUCAUUGUGAAUUGUAUUAUUAUGCCAUCAAAUUAAUCUAUAAAAAUACAU